AUUGAACGCUGGCGGCAGGCCUAACACAUGCAAGUCGAACGAGUGGCGGACGGGUGAGUAAUGACUGGGCAACUUCCUGGUGGAUGGGGAUAAGUACUGGAAACUGUAACCACAUCCGCAUACCCUAGCAUUUGCCCAGAUGGGAUUAGGUAGUGGGUGGGGUAAAGGCUCACCUAGGCGCCGAUCCCUAGCUGGUCUGAGAGGAUGACCAGCCACACUGGAACGGAGACACGGUCCAGACUCCUACGGGAGGCAGCAGUGGGGAAUAUUGGACAAUGGGCGAAAGCCUGAUGCAGCCAUGCCGCGUGUGUGAAGAAGGCCUUCGGGUUGUAAAGUACUUUCAGCGGGGAGGCGUUACCCGCAGAAGAAGCAACGGCUAACUCCGUGCCAGCAGCCGCGGUAGUAC
This 406-nucleotide ribosomal RNA is filed under the name uncultured bacterium. Its description in RNAcentral is "partial 16S ribosomal RNA". It matches the Rfam family "Bacterial small subunit ribosomal RNA", at positions 30 to 526 of the family's 1533-position model. The record is from RNAcentral.